This 450-nucleotide ribosomal RNA is filed under the name uncultured bacterium. RNAcentral's name for it is "partial 16S ribosomal RNA". It matches the Rfam family "Bacterial small subunit ribosomal RNA", at positions 354 to 796 of the family's 1533-position model. The record is from RNAcentral.
GUGGGGAAUAUUGGACAAUGGGGGGAACCCUGAUCCAGCCAUGCCGCGUGUGUGAAGAAGGCCUUUUGGUUGUAAAGCACUUUAAGCGAGGAGGAGGCUACCGAGAUUAAUACUCUUGGAUAGUGGACGUUACUCGCAGAAUAAGCACCGGCUAACUCUGUGCCAGCAGCCGCGGUAAUACAGAGGGUGCAAGCGUUAAUCGGAUUUACUGGGCGUAAAGCGCGCGUAGGUGGCCAAUUAAGUCAAAUGUGAAAUCCCCGAGCUUAACUUGGGAAUUGCAUUCGAUACUGGUUGGCUAGAGUAUGGGAGAGGAUGGUAGAAUUCCAGGUGUAGCGGUGAAAUGCGUAGAGAUCUGGAGGAAUACCGAUGGCGAAGGCAGCCAUCUGGCCUAAUACUGACACUGAGGUGCGAAAGCAUGGGGAGCAAACAGGAUUAGAAACCUAGUAGUCC